GUUCGUGUGCGGCCGUUAGACAUAAUACAAAAACUGGACUAUCAUUCACUACCAAAAAAAGACAAGAAGCUGUAGAAAAGAAAAUGGCACAUAAGGGAUACUAGCAGAAGAAAAAAACAACGCUGCCCGUGGGAAAUCUGCAUCAUAGAGUUGUACAUAUAUAUUGGCUAUAAUGCUAUACUUGGAAGCGUCGUGGGAGUAUUGAGUAUGUCAAACUAUAUAUAACUAUGCUUAUAUAACUAUGAUAUCUAAACAGCGUCUCACGUGACAUGAAUAGCAGCAACAUCAUCCGGUUGUUGAGCUGCACUAGGAUCCAUUUGGAAAUGUUGUUUAUUAUUUGUUGGUAGUUGAGAGGCGAUUGAGUUCUAGCCCUGCAUAAACAAGUGUUAUCCAGGUGGUUUAUUGGCAGAGUGGUUGUAGAGGAAAUGAUACAUGUCAGACCGUAUUUAUCUAAACAAACGAAUGAUAAAAUGCUUAACGAAAAAAUACGCAAGGACAGAUAUAUAGCAGGUAAUAUAAAUCAUGCAGACUGUACAAAGGACGUGAGAAAUAUCCUCAGCAAUAUCUCAGCGAAUACGUAAAAUGUUUCCAUGAAAUGGAGGAUUGAAAAAGAAAUUUGAUUCCGGUAACUGUCAGGCACAGCGCCUCAACUGCAUUUCCUGGGAAUGACACAAACAAAUCGUGUCGAUAUGAAAAUAUGUUUAAAUUGCAUAAGGUA
Molecule: long non-coding RNA, 718 nt
Organism: Daphnia carinata
Lineage: Eukaryota; Metazoa; Arthropoda; Branchiopoda; Diplostraca; Daphniidae
Exons: 3
Source: RefSeq, a predicted model, not a curated record